RNAcentral lists this ribosomal RNA (253 nucleotides) under uncultured bacterium. Its description in RNAcentral is "partial 16S ribosomal RNA". It matches the Rfam family "Bacterial small subunit ribosomal RNA", at positions 524 to 776 of the family's 1533-position model. The record is from RNAcentral.
UACAGAGGUUCCAAGCGUUGUUCGGAUUCACUGGGCGUAAAGGGUGCGCAGGCGGUCGGGUAAGUCUGAUGUGAAAUCUCCGGGCUCAACCCGGAAAGGGCAUUGGAUACUAUCCGGCUGGAGGGUUGCAGGGGGGACUGGAAUUCUCGGUGUAGCAGUGAAAUGCGUAGAUAUCGAGAGGAAUACCCGUGGCGAAGGCAAGUCCCUGGACAAUUCCUGACGCUCAUGCAAGAAAGCUAGGGGAGCAAACAGG